Molecule: ribosomal RNA, 1055 nt
Filed under: Salmonella enterica subsp. enterica serovar Newport
Lineage: Bacteria; Pseudomonadati; Pseudomonadota; Gammaproteobacteria; Enterobacterales; Enterobacteriaceae
Description: partial 23S ribosomal RNA
Rfam family: Bacterial large subunit ribosomal RNA
Source: RNAcentral
GGGUUGUGAGGUUAAGCGACUAAGCGUACACGGUGGAUGCCCUGGCAGUCAGAGGCGAUGAAGGGCGUGCUAAUCUGCGAUAAGCGCCGGUAAGGUGAUAUGAACCGUUAUAACCGGCGAUACCCGAAUGGGGAAACCCAGUGUGAUUCGUCACACUAUCAUUAACUGAAUCCAUAGGUUAAUGAGGCGAACCGGGGGAACUGAAACAUCUAAGUACCCCGAGGAAAAGAAAUCAACCGAGAUUCCCCCAGUAGCGGCGAGCGAACGGGGAGGAGCCCAGAGCCUGAAUCAGCAUGUGUGUUAGUGGAAGCGUCUGGAAAGGCGCGCGAUACAGGGUGACAGCCCCGUACACAAAAGCGCAUGUGCUGUGAGCUCGAUGAGUAGGGCGGGACACGUGGUAUCCUGUCUGAAUAUGGGGGGACCAUCCUCCAAGGCUAAAUACUCCUGACUGACCGAUAGUGAACCAGUACCGUGAGGGAAAGGCGAAAAGAACCCCGGCGAGGGGAGUGAAAAAGAACCUGAAACCGUGUACGUACAAGCAGUGGGAGCACCCUUUUGGGUGUGACUGCGUACCUUUUGUAUAAUGGGUCAGCGACUUAUAUUCUGUAGCAAGGUUAACCGAAUAGGGGAGCCGUAGGGAAACCGAGUCUUAACCGGGCGUUAAGUUGCAGGGUAUAGACCCGAAACCCGGUGAUCUAGCCAUGGGCAGGUUGAAGGUUGGGUAACACUAACUGGAGGACCGAACCGACUAAUGUUGAAAAAUUAGCGGAUGACCUGUGGCUGGGGGUGAAAGGCCAAUCAAACCGGGAGAUAGCUGGUUCUCCCCGAAAGCUAUUUAGGUAGCGCCUCGUGAAUUCAUCUCCGGGGGUAGAGCACUGUUUCGGCUAGGGGGCCAUCCCGGCUUACCAACCCGAUGCAAACUGCGAAUACCGGAGAAUGUUAUCACGGGAGACACACGGCGGGUGCUAACGUCCGUCGUGAAGAGGGAAACAACCCAGACCGCCAGCUAAGGUCCCAAAGUCAUGGUUAAGUGGGAAACGAUGUGGGAAGGCCCA